This 1035-nucleotide long non-coding RNA is filed under the name Oryza brachyantha (malo sina). RNAcentral's name for it is "long non-coding RNA (OBRA_LNC003379)". Lineage: Eukaryota; Viridiplantae; Streptophyta; Magnoliopsida; Poales; Poaceae. The record is from RNAcentral.
AGAUCGCCGGAGCAAGCUAGCUGCACCUACACCCCCUCCUCCCUACUACGCAUGCACUACAUAUCCUACCACUACUUCUUGCUUGCCGCCAUUAUCGAUCCCUAGCUAGCUCUAGGCUGCUUGCUUGCCGCCAUUAUCCUCUUGAUUUUCAUCAAUCUUGCCACUGCUACUGCCUCUAAUUAAUUAGGUUGAUUUCCUGAUCGCUUCUUCUUCCCAACUGGGUCGGUCGUCGUCGUCGUCUCUACUACUAUUUGCUGCUGGUAAUUUUCCCCUCCUCAUCUCUUCCUUCCUAGCUCCAUGUGUAAUCCAACACUAGUAGCUCCUGCUGUUUGUGAUGAACUGAUGAUAUGAUAGCUAGCUAGCUCCCAAUCAAGAACUUGUUUUGAGAUUCAGCUGGCUGUGGCCCCCGUACGUCUUGAUUGAUUCGAUUAAUUGCUUCUUGUUUCUUGCUGCUGCUGCUGAUCGAUCUAUAGCCAUUACAUCUCCCUUGCAUCGUCUUCUCUAAGCUCUGCUGCAAGAUCGAACAAAUGAAAGCACAGGUACACACUGCGAACAGUGCGAUCUGCUCUCCGGUCUGCCUGGUCGUCGUCUUCUCCAUGUUCUUGCAGGGAAGCAGGCAGGCAGUGUGAUCGAUCGAUCGAUCGAUUUGGCGAGUCAUGUCAGCACUGUGGCUGUCUCGUCCUCUCGGGGAAUCCGCGUACUGUUCUUGGGGAGAGUCACGGAUGGCUAGAGCGAGCUCAGCUUCAAAUCAAGCUUCACUACUACUGCUAGUGAGCGGUGAGGAGAAGUGGUGUAGCUGUGGGCUGCUCCUUCCCCCCUUUCAGGACGCUUUUGCUUUGCUUUUUAUGGUACCUGUACUGCUCAUACCAUAAGUAGCUAGGCUUGCUUGGCCACCUCUGCAUGUGUAUUGCAGUAUCCCUAAUUACCAACACAGCAGAUUGCCUGAAAAAUUCUAGAGUAUUUUUUCACUUGCUCCUUUCUUUUUGGGAGCAUGGGGAUGAAAGAUGCUGAAAAUACAUGAAUAAUUAACUUCGU